This 500-nucleotide ribosomal RNA is filed under the name uncultured bacterium. Its description in RNAcentral is "bacterial SSU rRNA". It matches the Rfam family "Bacterial small subunit ribosomal RNA", at positions 29 to 519 of the family's 1533-position model. The record is from RNAcentral.
AUUGAACGCUGGCGGCAUGCCUUACACAUGCAAGUCGAACGGCAGCACGGGAGCAAUCCUGGUGGCGAGUGGCGAACGGGUGAGUAAUAUAUCGGAACGUGCCCAGUAGUGGGGGAUAGCCCGGCGAAAGCCGGAUUAAUACCGCAUACGACCUGAGGGUGAAAGCGGGGGAUCGCAAGACCUCGCGCUAUUGGAGCGGCCGAUAUCAGAUUAGCUAGUUGGUGGGGUAAAGGCCUACCAAGGCUACGAUCUGUAGUUGGUCUGAGAGGACGACCAGCCACACUGGGACUGAGACACGGCCCAGACUCCUACGGGAGGCAGCAGUGGGGAAUUUUGGACAAUGGCGCAAGCCUGAUCCAGCAAUGCCGCGUGCAGAAGAAGGCCUCGGUUGUAAACUGCUUUGUCAGGAGAAAUACUCUGGCGUAAUAACCCCGGAGGAGUGACGGUACCGUCGAAGGAAUAAGACGAACCGGCGUAACUAACGUAGCCAGCAGCCGACC